AGCUCCAAUAGCGUAUAUUUUAGUUGUUGCAGUUAAAAAGCUCGUAGCCGUAUUUCUGGUGGGAGAAUGCAGUCCGACUUUAUGUCGGUACUCGCAUCCUCCGGCCAUCCUUGGGUCUAGCCCGUUUGGCAUUACGUUGUCGAGCUGGGGAUGCCCAUCGUUUACUGUGAAAAAAUUAGAGUGUUCAAAGCAGACUUAUGUCGUUGAAUAUAUUAGCAUGGAAUAAUAAAAUAGGACAUCAGUGCUAUUUUGUUGGUUUGCGCACCGAUGUAAUGAUAAAUAGGAACAGUUGUGGGUAUUCGUAUUCAUUUGUAAGAGGUGAAAUUCUUAGAUUAAAGGAAGACGAACUACUGCGAAAGCAUUUAGCAGGGAUGUUUUCA
RNAcentral lists this ribosomal RNA (380 nucleotides) under uncultured marine Chaetocerotaceae. RNAcentral's name for it is "SSU rRNA". It matches the Rfam family "Eukaryotic small subunit ribosomal RNA", at positions 587 to 972 of the family's 1831-position model. Lineage: Eukaryota; Bacillariophyta; Thalassiosirophyceae; Chaetocerotales; Chaetocerotaceae. The record is from RNAcentral.